AAAGUUUGGUUGCGAAAUGUUGUAAAAUGUGGAAAAUAUAUAGCCCUGUGAAAUUUGCAAAUUUUGUAUUAAUUUGUAUUACGCACAAGAAAAUGAACCACUUUCGGCCGAAAUGAGGUGCAUUUUCCAGCGCGUAAUAAAAAUUAAUACAAAAUUUGCAAAUUUGUUAGGUCUAUAUCUUCCUCAUUUUACAACACUUCGCAAACAAAAUUU
This is a non-coding RNA of Paramuricea clavata, 213 nucleotides long. NCBI's taxonomy places the organism in Eukaryota, Metazoa, Cnidaria, Anthozoa, Malacalcyonacea, Plexauridae. The record is from the annotation of a GenBank genome assembly.